GCCUCAGUGGUCGAAUGGAGAAGACACUCGCGCGUUAAGCGAGCGAUCCAGGUUCGAUUCCUGGCUGGGGUA
RNAcentral lists this transfer RNA (72 nucleotides) under Pogonomyrmex barbatus (red harvester ant). RNAcentral's name for it is "tRNA-Asn". It matches the Rfam family "tRNA". From Rfam's summary of the family: Transfer RNA (tRNA) molecules are approximately 80 nucleotides in length. Their secondary structure includes four short double-helical elements and three loops (D, anti-codon, and T loops). The record is from Rfam by way of RNAcentral. Lineage: Eukaryota; Metazoa; Arthropoda; Insecta; Hymenoptera; Formicidae.